AGAGUUUGAUCCUGGCUCAGAAUGAACGCUGGCGGCAUGGAUUAGGCAUGCAAGUCGAACGAGAAAGCAGCUUCGGCUGCGAGUAAAGUGGCGAAAGGGUGAGUAACACGUGAGGAACCCGCCCCCCAGUCCGGAACAAUCCUGUGAAAACGGGCCUGAAACCGGAUGCCGGCCUCCCCCGCAUGGGUGGGCGCCGAAACAUUUAUGGCUGGAGGAUGGCCUCGCGCCCCAUUAGCUUGUUGGCGGGGUGACGGCCCACCAAGGCGACGACGGGUAGGUGGUCUGAGAGGAUGGUCACCCACACUGGGACUGAGACACUGCCCAGACUCCUACGGGAGGCUGCAGUCGAGAAUCUUCCGCAAUGGGCGCAAGCCUGACGGAGCGAUGCCGCGUGAGGGAAGUAGGCCUUCGGGUCGUGAACCUCUGUCGACGGGGACGAACGCAAUGACGGUACCCGUCAAGAAAGCCACGGCUAACCACGUGCCAGCAGCGGC
RNAcentral lists this ribosomal RNA (494 nucleotides) under uncultured bacterium. Its description in RNAcentral is "bacterial SSU rRNA". It matches the Rfam family "Bacterial small subunit ribosomal RNA", at positions 8 to 518 of the family's 1533-position model. The record is from RNAcentral.